GUUGAAGGGAGAAAACUAGCAUGCUAGAGUGCACAUGGAAAAGUCAUGGCUGGUUGUGGUGGUGCAGGUUCACAGGAUAAGGCUGAAAAUGUACAGACUUCUGCAGGUACAGCGGAGGCUAUCCUCAUGUGGUGUUCAUCUUCAUUGCCAGCUUGACUAGAUGUAGAAUCACCUAUGGGACACACUUCUGAACAUGACUUUGAGGGUGUUCUCAAGGAAGUCAAACUGAGGAGGGGAGACCCACACUGAAUGGGACCACUGCAUGGACUGGGUUCCAAACAGAACAAAAAAGGGGACAAGGAGAAGCCAACAGACCACUGCUGUUCCCUUUUAUGUUUCCUGGUCUGUUUAGACAUGCACAAGCUCCUGUGGUUACAGGUAGAAGCUGAGCCCACCACCAUACCUUUCCCUCUAUGACUGACUCUAUGUCCUGCUCUGUGACUCAAAUAAACCUUCCCUGUAUCAAGCUGUUUAAUAAAAGCCCUGACUACC
This 492-nucleotide long non-coding RNA is filed under the name Rattus norvegicus (Norway rat). RNAcentral describes it as "long non-coding RNA NONRATT008829". Lineage: Eukaryota; Metazoa; Chordata; Mammalia; Rodentia; Muridae. The record is from RNAcentral.